UAGUAACGGCGAGUGAAGCGGCAACAGCUCAAAUUUGAAAUCUGGCUCUUUUAGAGUCCGAGUUGUAAUUUGCAGAGGGCGCUUUGGCUUUGGCAGCGGUCCAAGUUCCUUGGAACAGGACGUCACAGAGGGUGAGAAUCCCGUACGUGGUCGCUGGCUAUUGCCGUGUAAAGCCCCUUCGACGAGUCGAGUUGUUUGGGAAUGCAGCUCUAAAUGGGAGGUACAUUUCUUCUAAAGCUAAAUAUUGGCCAGAGACCGAUAGCGCACAAGUAGAGUGAUCGAAAGAUGAAAAGCACUUUGGAAAGAGAGUCAAACAGCACGUGAAAUUGUUGAAAGGGAAGCGCUUGCAGCCAGACUUGCUUACAGUUGCUCAUCCGGGUUUUUACCCGGUGCACUCUUCUGUAGGCAGGCCAGCAUCAGUUUGGGCGGUAGGAUAAAGGUCUCUGUCACGUACCUCCUUUCGGGGAGGCCUUAUAGGGGAGACGACAUACUACCAGCCUGGACUGAGGUCCGCGCAUCUGCUAGGAUGCUGGCGUAAUGGCUGUAAGCGGCCCGUCUUGAAACACGGACCAAGGAGUCUAACAUCUAUGCGAGUGUUUGGGUGUCAAGCCCGAGCGCGUAAUGAAAGUGAACGGAGGUGGGAACCCGCAAGGGUGCACCAUCGACCGAUCCUGAUGUCUUCGGAAGGAUUUGAGUAAGAGCAUGGCUGUUGGGACCCGAAAGAUGGUGAACUAUGCUUGAAUAGGGUGAAGCCAGAGGAAACUCUGGUGGAGGCUCGCAGCGGUUCUGACGUGCAAAUCGAUCGUCAAAUUUGGGCAUAGGGGCGAAAGACUAAUCGAACUAUCUAGUAGCUGGUU
RNAcentral lists this ribosomal RNA (857 nucleotides) under Alternaria sp. RNAcentral describes it as "partial large subunit ribosomal RNA". It matches the Rfam family "Eukaryotic large subunit ribosomal RNA", at positions 81 to 956 of the family's 3401-position model. Lineage: Eukaryota; Fungi; Ascomycota; Dothideomycetes; Pleosporales; Pleosporaceae. The record is from RNAcentral.